CAGGAACCCAUACCCUGCGGAAAGGUGACAGUGAGAUCUUAACAGGCAGCGGAGCAGACACUGCCCUGACAAGGAGAAGCUACAGUUUUUUUUUGCUAUAUUUUUACUGUACAUGUAGCCAAGCUGUGGAAUAGACAGAGGAUAUUUCUACUUCUGCUCAAGUUUGGUUUGCUAAUCCACAUGUUCAUCUCCGACUGCUUAGUCCCUCUUACCUGCCCCAGGAUAAGGCCGACCUGGAAGGACACUGGAGUGUUGAGGGAUCGGAGGACCCAGGUCUUGCACUGAACAUGAGUGCCCAUACUGACGGAAUCUGAGGUGGCUUGAAAAGAGCUCACUGUGCAUGCGAAUUCUGCAGGGCCUGGGACUCAAACCACAAACAGUGAACAAAAGGCUUGACACCCUAAGGAAGUGCCACCAUGACCGCACCAAUGGUUGCAUCAUAGAAAAUAAAGAAGCUUUUGCCUCAGGGUCAGGUUUACCUCUCCAUGAGCCGGGGCUCAAAGGGUGCGGACAGGCCUUGAAGUCUGUGCUGGCCAGGGGCCAGCAGCUGGGGGUUCAUGGCCA
Lepisosteus oculatus (spotted gar) is the source of this 564-nucleotide long non-coding RNA. RefSeq lists it as uncharacterized. Lineage: Eukaryota; Metazoa; Chordata; Actinopteri; Semionotiformes; Lepisosteidae. The record is from RefSeq and is a predicted model, not a curated record.